GAAUCUCUCUCUUAGAUUCAGAAAAACACUUAGACAAAGAAGGGCUACCGAGAAGAAGAGCUUGGCAUCCUGAAUCUUUGAGGCAAAACCCAUUUUUCACCACUCCUCUACAGCAAUUCAGAUUUCAAGAAUUGGAAGGGAUGAUGUGAUUAGAAGGAGCUGUGAAACAUAAUAUGGGCUGAGAGUCACUUUGAAAUCCAAUAUAAAUGAGAUGGAGAGAAGAAACAGGGAUCAAACAGUGCAAAGGUGAGAGCCCUUGAUUCUUCAUACAUAUUGGUGGAUGGUGGUUUUUAUGCAAGCAAGGCUGAAUGUGCUAGACUGAUGCAAACAAAGACUUAGAUGCAUACCUUAAUCAUGUGAACAGUUCCAGCAGCUUCCAAGAGGCUUCAGGCACCACUGGAUUUAAGCAUUAACAUGUUGACAGGAGGAUGGCUCAGUAAGUAUGAUGGGAUCUACAUCAUGGGCCUCUGGAAUAUGCCAUUGUAAUUUCUUUGGGAGCCUGCUUUGAAGAGGAGCAGGAGCUGGUCUGGAUUUUCUUUUUACAUAUUUAAAACACCUAGCACAAUCGUAAGAGCUAAAUAAUUAAUCAGCACUGUUAAAGAACACAAACAUUUU
This 615-nucleotide long non-coding RNA is filed under the name Anas platyrhynchos platyrhynchos (common mallard). Its description in RNAcentral is "lncRNA (ENSAPLG00000027569.1)". The record is from RNAcentral. Lineage: Eukaryota; Metazoa; Chordata; Aves; Anseriformes; Anatidae.